This 404-nucleotide ribosomal RNA is filed under the name Actinomycetes bacterium. Its description in RNAcentral is "Actinobacteria bacterium partial 16S ribosomal RNA". It matches the Rfam family "Bacterial small subunit ribosomal RNA", at positions 355 to 776 of the family's 1533-position model. The record is from RNAcentral. Lineage: Bacteria; Bacillati; Actinomycetota; Actinomycetes.
UGGGGAAUAUUGGACAAUGGGCGCAAGCCUGCUCCAGCCAUGCCGCGUGAGUGAUGAAGGCCCUAGGGUUGUAAAGCUCUUUCACCGGUGAAGAUAAUGACGGUAACCGGAGAAGAAGCCCCGGCUAACUUCGUGCCAGCAGCCGCGGUAAUACGAAGGGGGCUAGCGUUGUUCGGAUUUACUGGGCGUAAAGCGCACGUAGGCGGACUAUUAAGUCAGGGGUGAAAUCCCGGGGCUCAACCCCGGAACUGCCUUUGAUACUGGUAGUCUUGAGUUCGAGAGAGGUGAGUGGAAUUCCGAGUGUAGAGGUGAAAUUCGUAGAUAUUCGGAGGAAGACCAGUGGCGAAGGCGGCUCACUGGUUCGAUACUGACGCUGAGGUGCGAAAGCGUGGGGAGCAAACAGG